GCGCUCGUAGCUCAGUUGGAUAGAGCGGUGGUUUCCGACCACGUCUGUCGGGGGUUCGAAUCCCUCCGAGCGCG
This 74-nucleotide transfer RNA is filed under the name Bacillus subtilis. RNAcentral's name for it is "tRNA-Gly". It matches the Rfam family "tRNA". From Rfam's summary of the family: Transfer RNA (tRNA) molecules are approximately 80 nucleotides in length. Their secondary structure includes four short double-helical elements and three loops (D, anti-codon, and T loops). Further hydrogen bonds mediate the characteristic L-shaped molecular structure. tRNAs have two regions of fundamental functional importance: the anti-codon, which is responsible for specific mRNA codon recognition, and the 3' end, to which the tRNAs corresponding amino acid is attached (by aminoacyl-tRNA synthetases). tRNAs cope with the degeneracy of the genetic code in two manners: having more than one tRNA (with a specific anti-codon) for a particular amino acid; and 'wobble' base-pairing, i.e. permitting non-standard base-pairing at the 3rd anti-codon position. The record is from RNAcentral. Lineage: Bacteria; Bacillati; Bacillota; Bacilli; Caryophanales; Bacillaceae.